RNAcentral lists this unclassified non-coding RNA (582 nucleotides) under Zea mays. RNAcentral's name for it is "misc RNA Zm00001eb176960". The record is from RNAcentral. Lineage: Eukaryota; Viridiplantae; Streptophyta; Magnoliopsida; Poales; Poaceae.
CGCCCUGGCUGGGAGCAGGGAGGAGCAAGACGCGCGGCUGGAGAUGGUGAAUUGGUGGCCGGCGUUGGAGGAGGAGGGUGCAGGGAGCUUGGAGUUGCGGCUGGGCGCCGGCCAUGGAGGAGGCAAGCUCCAGCCGGACUUGGGGAAGGAGCCAGAGAGAGCUCGCGACGAGCAGCAGCAAGGGGAAUGGAGGUCUGAGUGGGGGAGAUUGUUGGCGAGCUCGCGGCAGGGAGGUGAGCUCGGCCAUGGGAAUGGCUGCUUGCUGCCUUGCUGCGGGAGGAAGAAGCAGGGGGCACCGCGCCAUUGCUGGCCGCGGGGAGGAAAGGGAGAUUGCAGGGGCGCCAUGGACAGGGACGCCAUUGGGCUGCUGGAGAAAUCAGGGCGCCAUCCAUGGGAAGAAGGAGGAGCUCGCGCCCAUGGAGUGGGAGAGCUGGGCGACCCUGAAGUUUCUGCGCGUUGGAGAAGACAGCAAAGGGGGAGGAGCUCGCUGCUGGGCUGCUCGCCGGCCAUGGAGAAGAGCAGAGAAGGUCGUGGCCAAUGGGGGAUCAGGGGCGUCGGCGUGCUCCCAGGGAGCUCCUGCUC